RNAcentral lists this ribosomal RNA (284 nucleotides) under uncultured Lachnospiraceae bacterium. RNAcentral describes it as "partial 16S ribosomal RNA". The stretch from base 46 to 284 matches the Rfam family "Bacterial small subunit ribosomal RNA", at positions 100 to 339 of the family's 1533-position model. The record is from RNAcentral. Lineage: Bacteria; Bacillati; Bacillota; Clostridia; Lachnospirales; Lachnospiraceae.
AUUUGAGAUUGAUUCUUCGGAUGAUUUCUCUUAUGACUUAGUGGCGGACGGGUGAGUAACGCGUGGGUAACCUGCCUCACACAGGGGGAUAACAGUUGGAAACGACCGCUAAUACCGCAUAACCCGCUAGGGCCGCAUGGCCCGGACGGAAAAGAUUUAUCGGUGUGAGAUGGACCCGCGUUGGAUUAGCUAGUUGGCAGGGUAACGGCCUACCAAGGCGACGAUCCAUAGCCGGCCUGAGAGGGUGAACGGCCACAUUGGGACUGAGACACGGCCCAAACUCC